AUAAUUAUGAACUGCAGCCAUUAGCUGUUUAUAAAUGAUCGAAAUCAAAGAAUUAAUUGGACAGUGGUUUGUUAAGUGGUGUUCUUAGCAAAUCUUCUAGUUAAAAGUCUGUGUUUUGUUUUUAUAUACUUCUUUAUUUUGUAACCUGAUGAUAUUUGUCAUGUCAUUUUCUUUCUCUAUUUCCUUGCUUCACUCUGGAAUUUAUCUCCUCCCCAGCCUCAGUUUAUUAACCUUCAGGGUAUGGUGUAAUACUAAGCAUUUCCUUAAUUGAGUCAUGUGAAGACGAGUGAGUUUUACUAUCAAGUUUAACAAUUUGCUAUUUUGAAACUCUUGCUAGACCCACAUUAAAUGAGAUGUUAGAGAAUAUUAUGAAGAGUAAAUUUCUCUUUUUACAG
Molecule: long non-coding RNA, 395 nt
Filed under: Bos taurus (domestic cattle)
Lineage: Eukaryota; Metazoa; Chordata; Mammalia; Artiodactyla; Bovidae
Description: long non-coding RNA NONBTAT023327
Source: RNAcentral